GCGCUCUUGUCGGUUCCAGCACAAAAUCUCUACGACGACCUCAGAUGGCUCGUAUCAAAUUAUGAAGCCGGUUGUAGCAUUUUCCAUCCACCGUCGAAACAUCUUCAUCGCUGCCUCCUGCAUCGUCCGUAGCCAUUGACGACAGUGAAAACAUCUUCAGUUCAGCCAUGUAGCAUCUACCAACGUUGGUUCCAGCAAAAAACAGUGGCAUGAAUCAGCGAACAAUGGUGUGAUUCCAACAAAACAGACACAUGGUUCCAGCAAAACGAGAAACCGGUUCCAGCAAAAACAACUCACCGUCGCCGAUGGCAGAAAAAUUCUCGCCGGUCCCAGCAAAAACAAACGUCGGUUGUAGCUCGUGAACUACCGGUUGUAGCAUGUUUGACUCACCGUCGAUAUUGGUUAUAGGCAGCUUAUCACCUUGCCGCUUCCAGCUUCUCUGCCGGUAGGUUCCAGCAAAAAUGCUCGUCGGCUGCAGCAACGGGUGCCAGCCCGCGCUCACCUCGAUCACCGCCGUCAUGCACCCCUGGCCACCACCCGCUCGUCACCAUUGUAGCACGGUCGCCGCUGAUUGAAGCACCACGACGGCGUGGUUGUAAGUUGUAACACCGUCGAGCAGCGGGCAUAACAAGUUGGGUUGUCGCAGGCCGCGCAGGUGGAUGGGCGGCCGCUCGCCGGAGCAGCGUGGGGAAGGUGGAUGGCAGCCACUCGCUGGAGCAUCGCAGGGCAGGUGGAUGGCGGCGGCUCACCACAGGGUGUUUCUCUGAUUUGGGGAAGGAAGACACUGCGAUGUGUUGACUGAGCGGAUAAGGAAGAUGGUGCGAGGCGGUUUGCAGGGCCCACGAGGGGACGCGUGGGGAGGAAAGAAGGAAGACGUGGCACAGCCGCUGGCGAG
Molecule: long non-coding RNA, 895 nt
Filed under: Triticum aestivum (bread wheat)
Lineage: Eukaryota; Viridiplantae; Streptophyta; Magnoliopsida; Poales; Poaceae
Description: long non-coding RNA (TAES_LNC003316)
Source: RNAcentral